UACGUAGGGUGCAAGCGUUAAUCGGAAUUACUGGGCGUAAAGCGUGCGCAGGCGGCUUUGCAAGACAGAUGUGAAAUCCCCAGGCUUAACCUGGGAACUGCAUUUGUGACUGCAAGGCUAGAGUACGGCAGAGGGGGAUGGAAUUCCGCGUGUAGCAGUGAAAUGCGUAGAUAUGCGGAGGAACACCGAUGGCGAAGGCAAUCCCCUGGGCCUGUACUGACGCUCAUGCACGAAAGCGUGGGGAGCAAACAGG
RNAcentral lists this ribosomal RNA (253 nucleotides) under uncultured bacterium. RNAcentral describes it as "partial 16S ribosomal RNA". It matches the Rfam family "Bacterial small subunit ribosomal RNA", at positions 524 to 776 of the family's 1533-position model. The record is from RNAcentral.